UCCCCGUUUCACAGGGCGGUCUGAACAGAGAGCGCGACUUGCGUCGCAGCAACAGUUCAUAAGGGUUGCGCUCGUUGCGGGACUUAACCCAACAUCUCACGACACGAGCUGACGACAGCCAUGCAGCACCUGUGCAAAGUGCCCCUUGCGGGGCUCGCUGGCUUUCACCAACUUAGCGAUGCAUGUCAAGCCCAGGUAAGGUUCUUCGCGUUGCAUCGAAUUAAGCCACAUACUCCACCGCUUGUGCGGGCCCCCGUCAAUUUCUUUGAGUUUUAAUCUUGCGACCGUAUUUCCCAGGCGGCGCGUUUAACGCGUUAGCUCCGGCGCGGAGAUUGUCGAAUCCCCCCACACCAAACGCGCACCGUUUACUGCCAGGACUAC
RNAcentral lists this unclassified non-coding RNA (381 nucleotides) under uncultured Chthoniobacteraceae bacterium. RNAcentral's name for it is "contains 16S-23S intergenic spacer region". Lineage: Bacteria; Pseudomonadati; Verrucomicrobiota; Spartobacteria; Chthoniobacterales; Chthoniobacteraceae. The record is from RNAcentral.